CGCACAAGCGGUGGAGCAUGUGGUUUAAUUCGAUGCAACGCGAAGAACCUUACCUGGUCUUGACAUCCACGGAAGUUUUCAGAGAUGAGAAUGUGCCUUCGGGAACCGUGAGACAGGUGCUGCAUGGCUGUCGUCAGCUCGUGUUGUGAAAUGUUGGGUUAAGUCCCGCAACGAGCGCAACCCUUAUCCUUUGUUGCCAGCGGUCCGGCCGGGAACUCAAAGGAGACUGCCAGUGAUAAACUGGAGGAAGGUGGGGAUGACGUCAAGUCAUCAUGGCCCUUACGACCAGGGCUACACACGUGCUACAAUGGCGCAUACAAAGAGAAGCGACCUCGCGAGAGCAAGCGGACCUCAUAAAGUGCGUCGUAGUCCGGAUUGGAGUCUGCAACUCGACUCCAUGAAGUCGGAAUCGCUAGUAAUCGUGGAUCAGAAUGCCACGGUGAAUACGUUCCCGGGCCUUGUACACACCGCCCGUCACACCAUGGGAGUGGGUUGCAAAAGAAGUAGGUAGCUUAACCUUCGGGAGGGCGCUUACCACUUUGUGAUUCAUGACUGGGGUGAAGUCGUAACAAGGUAACCGUAGGGGAACCUGCGGUUGGAUCAC
Molecule: ribosomal RNA, 604 nt
Filed under: Escherichia coli
Lineage: Bacteria; Pseudomonadati; Pseudomonadota; Gammaproteobacteria; Enterobacterales; Enterobacteriaceae
Also listed under: 1 other name
Description: partial 16S ribosomal RNA
Rfam family: Bacterial small subunit ribosomal RNA
Source: RNAcentral